UCCGAGAGGACUUUGAAGACUUGGCGAUAAAAGGGGGGCCCUUUGUGCAAAGUUAGUGACGGGCAAAUUGUGGGCGUGUAUGGGGAGGUUAAAAGAGAACGGGUGUGUAAAAAUACAGAGUUCAGGACCACAGACCCCUCCGCUGGGAGAUACCACUGAGGAGAUGGGGGAGGCCUGAAAUGGUACGGACCUCCCUGGUACCUAUCGCCGGGGAGAAAGGAUGCAGAGUCGGUGAAAAUACAUUCCUCCCUCCACAGGUCAGUAUCACUGGGCAGACAGGGAGAACGUGUGGAGCUGGUAGUUCUUUCAAGAAAAUAACAGUAGGGAGAUAAAUACCAUUAACCUAGCGGUGGCGAAGGCUCAGGUUGGUACAGUCCGUUGUGGAAGAUACCACUGGUGCAAAUAGGGAGGUGUGGUACAAUCUGUCCUCGGAGAAAGAAACGUGAAGAAAGUGACAUUGGUAAACAUAGGCGCAGGGAGAGUUGGAGACAGAAGCCUAGGGAUAAAGGGGCCCGGGUGAGGUGGAAUCUUAGUCGGAGACUAGGUGAGAAGACAGAUCUGAUUGUGACCCCGCCAGGCCUACAUUCCAUCCUCCUCCGGGUAACCUGUUGCAGAGAGAUUUGAGAGGGCGGAGAUUCCAGAGUCCCAGUCCUAUGGGGCCUCCCUGAGGCCUAGGGGAAUAACCGGGAGACAGACAGUGAUCAGGUUCCGGACCUCAAACACUCUGCCCUAUUAAUCACAUUCUACCAAUUGAUCACCUGAAAGAAAAUGUACAGAGAACCCUCACCAGGAACCAAAUCAGCUGGCUUCUUCAUCUUGGACUUCUCCCAGCCUCCAGCACUAUGCCAAAUAAACUUCUGGUUUAACCCAUC
This is a non-coding RNA of Chlorocebus sabaeus (green monkey), 872 nucleotides long. The record is from RefSeq and is a predicted model, not a curated record. Lineage: Eukaryota; Metazoa; Chordata; Mammalia; Primates; Cercopithecidae.